Molecule: ribosomal RNA, 253 nt
Filed under: uncultured bacterium
Lineage: Bacteria
Description: partial 16S ribosomal RNA
Rfam family: Bacterial small subunit ribosomal RNA
Source: RNAcentral
UACGAAGGGUGCAAGCGUUAUCCGGAUUCAUUGGGUUUAAAGGGUGCGUAGGCGGACCUGUAAGUCAGUGGUGAAAUCUCUCAGCUUAACUGAGAAACUGCCAUUGAUACUGCAAGUCUAGAGUAUAGAUGACGUUGGCGGAAUAUGACAUGUAGUGGUGAAAUACUUAGAUAUGUCAUAGAACACCGAUUGCGAAGGCAGCUAACGAAACUAUAACUGACGCUGAGGCACGAAAGUGCGGGGAGCAAACAGG